RNAcentral lists this ribosomal RNA (483 nucleotides) under uncultured bacterium. RNAcentral describes it as "bacterial SSU rRNA". It matches the Rfam family "Bacterial small subunit ribosomal RNA", at positions 28 to 506 of the family's 1533-position model. The record is from RNAcentral.
GAUUAACGCUAGCGGCAGGCCUAAUACAUGCAAGUCGAACGGCAGCGGGUGUAGCAAUACAUGCCGGCGAGUGGCGCACGGGUGCGUAACGCGUAUGCAAUCUACCUAUAACUGGGGAAUAGCCUUCCGAAAGGAAGAUUAAUACCGCAUAACAUCACGGAACGGCAUCGUUUUGUGAUCAAAACUCAGGUGGUUAUAGAUGAGCAUGCGUGACAUUAGCUAGUUGGUGAGGUAACGGCUCACCAAGGCGACGAUGUCUAGGGGGUCUGAGAGGAUGAUCCCCCACACUGGUACUGAGACACGGACCAGACUCCUACGGGAGGCAGCAGUAAGGAAUAUUGGACAAUGGCCGCAAGGCUGAUCCAGCCAUGCCGCGUGAAGGAUGAAGGUGCUAUGCAUUGUAAACUUCUUUUGUCCCGGAAUAAACCCCUGAUUUCUAUCGGGGCUGAAUGUACGGGAAGAAUAAGGGACGGCUAACUUCGU